AAAAAGGUUUUCAUCAAAACCACCCUAUUUUUGUCAUGAUUUACAU
Molecule: non-coding RNA, 46 nt
Organism: Tyto alba (common barn owl)
Lineage: Eukaryota; Metazoa; Chordata; Aves; Strigiformes; Tytonidae
Source: Rfam